UACGUAGGGUGCGAGCGUUGUCCGGAAUUACUGGGCGUAAAGAGCUUGUAGGUGGUUUGUCGCGUUGUUCGUGAAAUCUCACGGCUUAACUGUGAGCGUGCGGGCGAUACGGGCAGACUAGAGUACUGCAGGGGAGACUGGAAUUCCUGGUGGUAGCGGUGGGAAUGCGCAGAUAUCAGGAGGAACACCGGUGGCGAAGGCGGGUCUCUGGGCAGUGAACUGACGCUGGAGAAGCGAAAGCGUGGGGAGCGAACAGGA
Molecule: ribosomal RNA, 258 nt
Filed under: uncultured bacterium
Lineage: Bacteria
Description: partial 16S ribosomal RNA
Rfam family: Bacterial small subunit ribosomal RNA
Source: RNAcentral